Long non-coding RNA from Pyrus x bretschneideri (Chinese white pear), 238 nucleotides. RefSeq lists it as uncharacterized. The record is from RefSeq and is a predicted model, not a curated record. NCBI's taxonomy places the organism in Eukaryota, Viridiplantae, Streptophyta, Magnoliopsida, Rosales, Rosaceae. The transcript is spliced from 3 exons.
CCCCCCCCCCCCUCCUCGUUCUUAUCUCCAACAGGCAGGCUGCGCCUCACGCCUCACGCCUAGGCUGGGCUAACCCUCGAACGCGUCGCCCACGCCUCACGCUAGACAAGAUGCAAAUGUCGAACAAGGAUUGCUAUUUUUGCAUGCAGCUUAUGGGGCGAGUUUGCAGCCUAAACAUCACUCAACUAUUAUUAUUGGGGUCUACUUCUAAGAGGCCAGAAUUUAAAGAUGUGUUUGU